GACGAACGCUGGCGGCGUGCCUAACACAUGCAAGUCGAACGGGGUCAGCCCUUCGGGACUGACUUAGUGGCGAACGGGUGAGUAACGCGUGAGGAACCUGCCUCUCAGUGGGGGACAACAGUUGGAAACGACUGCUAAUACCGAAUGACGUUUCCUGGUCGCAUGACCUGGAAACCAAAGGCCGGGCAACCGGUCACUGAAGGAUGGGCCUGCGUCUGAUUAGCUAGUUGGUGGGGUAAAGGCCUACCAAGGCGAUGAUCUCUAGCUGGUCUGAGAGGAUGACCAGCCACACUGGAACUGAGACACGGUCCAGACUCCUACGGGGGGCAGCAGUAGGGAAUAUUGCACAAUGGGGGGGAACCCUGAUGCAGCCAUGCCGCGUGUGUGAAGAAGGCCUUCGGGUUGU
RNAcentral lists this ribosomal RNA (406 nucleotides) under uncultured bacterium. RNAcentral describes it as "bacterial SSU rRNA". It matches the Rfam family "Bacterial small subunit ribosomal RNA", at positions 28 to 426 of the family's 1533-position model. The record is from RNAcentral.